RNAcentral lists this unclassified non-coding RNA (284 nucleotides) under Chytridiomycota sp. RNAcentral describes it as "partial contains small subunit ribosomal RNA, internal transcribed spacer 1, and 5.8S ribosomal RNA". The stretch from base 1 to 47 matches the Rfam family "Eukaryotic small subunit ribosomal RNA", at positions 1785 to 1831 of the family's 1831-position model. The record is from RNAcentral. Lineage: Eukaryota; Fungi; Chytridiomycota.
AAAGUCGUAACAAGGUAACCGUAGGUGAACCUGCGGUUGGAUCAUUAAAAAUUAUCUACCGUGCUUCGACGGACCCAAUUAAUUUUGGGUAAACCGAAACCUUUUGUGAAACGUCUCGUCCCUGGCGGGGGGGUAGCGAAGAGCUACUUGUCAGCAUGUGCUGUAUUGCAUGUGCCGUGGACAUCCCGUCAACCCCUUUUAAACUUUUAUUUUUUAUUUUUUAAGCCUGACAUUACUUGUAUAAAUAUACAAAACAACUUUUGGCAACGGAUCUCUUGGCUCUC